GCUUCCAUGGCUCAGUUGGUAGAGCAGCGCAUUCGUAACGCGCAGGUCAUGGGUUCGAGUCCCAUUGGGAGCUCCA
This 76-nucleotide transfer RNA is filed under the name Bacillota bacterium. Its description in RNAcentral is "tRNA-Thr". It matches the Rfam family "tRNA". Rfam says of the family: Transfer RNA (tRNA) molecules are approximately 80 nucleotides in length. Their secondary structure includes four short double-helical elements and three loops (D, anti-codon, and T loops). Further hydrogen bonds mediate the characteristic L-shaped molecular structure. tRNAs have two regions of fundamental functional importance: the anti-codon, which is responsible for specific mRNA codon recognition, and the 3' end, to which the tRNAs corresponding amino acid is attached (by aminoacyl-tRNA synthetases). tRNAs cope with the degeneracy of the genetic code in two manners: having more than one tRNA (with a specific anti-codon) for a particular amino acid; and 'wobble' base-pairing, i.e. permitting non-standard base-pairing at the 3rd anti-codon position. The record is from RNAcentral. RNAcentral also lists the same sequence under 2 other names. Lineage: Bacteria; Bacillati; Bacillota.